UAAAACGGCACUAAGACUUUUG
Molecule: microRNA, 22 nt
Filed under: Monodelphis domestica (gray short-tailed opossum)
Lineage: Eukaryota; Metazoa; Chordata; Mammalia; Didelphimorphia; Didelphidae
Description: mdo-miR-7262g-3p
Source: miRBase by way of RNAcentral